Molecule: non-coding RNA, 5091 nt
Organism: Coturnix japonica (Japanese quail)
Lineage: Eukaryota; Metazoa; Chordata; Aves; Galliformes; Phasianidae
Source: RefSeq, a predicted model, not a curated record
CAUCAAAAGAAGCAUGACCAGCAGGGUGAAGGCCUUCUAGUCUUUGCUAGUGAGGCCUUACCUGGAAUACUGCAUCCAAGAAGGUCAUGAAGCUGUGGGAGUAUGUCCAGAGGAGAGCCAGAAAAAUAAUCCAAGGGACAGAACACCUCUGCUGUAAAUUUGCAGUUCUGGAGACAUCUAGAAGGAAAGAUUUGGUACCCAUGCCUGCCCACCUCCCUUGCUGAUCCUGCCCUUACCUCCUUGAUGUGAGCCCAUCCCUGUGACUAUCCCAAGCCUGGAUCUGCUGACCACAUCCAAGUGUGGUAGGACAGGCCGUCAGAAGUGCCUGCCCCAGGUCCUGUCCCUGCCUGCUCUGACUGGCAGCCCUGGCAACAGGUAUUUAGGGGGUAGCUGAAGCCAGGUGGAAUUGGGUUGAAACAUUAAGCACAAGCAAAUGAUGUAAAUCCAAAGCACUAUCAUUGAUCUGGCAGGCAACAGCUACAAGGUUUUAAAAUGAACGCGCAGUCCAAGCAGUGAGGCUGAAAUGUGGAAGAUUACUGUAGCGUUUAAACUGACAUAUUCACAAAGAUUUCUGUAUUACAGCUCUUCCCUACUAGCACAUAUAUAUGUAUGGGUAUAAAUGUAUAUAUUCCAAGGUUUAAAUGUAUGUUAUUCAUUAUUGUGAACACCUCACUGGUCUUUUAUCUGUUAUCGCAUCUAGCAAAAUGCUGUACUUAACAGUAAUUGUCAUUGUAAUUAAUGCUGAUCUGUAAGAUGCCUCUUACAUUUACUGUUAGGCUUCUGUGAAUCACUGGUACUGAUAUGUGAUCCGCAGUUGCAUAAAGAGCCAGUGUAAUAUAUAGCCUGUCAUCUCUAAUACAUUUUGAUGCAUUUUUCUGUGUUUUGCUAUUUUGGAGAUUCUAUCUGGUUUUGCAGACAAAUGGCCUAAUUCUCUGUUCUUUGUCAUUUAUUUGUAUUUCAUGCAAUCUUUAUAUAUUUAUUUAUUUUUUGCACAAAUCUAAACUAAAGAAAGAAAUCACUCUGUAGAACCCCAGCGUCUCAUAAUAACAGGCUGAAUCCAGCUCUCAUAACUUUCAUUUCAAUCAGCCACAAGAGGAAGGAUUUAGUCCAUUAGUUUAAAAUAUUUGACUUUUUCUCCCUCUUGGUAAUUUCCCAGUGAUUUCUUAUAGUCAUGAGGAAAUGCCUACUACAUAUAUAUAGAUAUUUGCUCCAGUGUACACAGUCUCUUUUGUACAGGAGUCUGAAAUCUGUCACUGUUUACUGUGCAGUAACACCAUAACUGGUCCAGUCCAGAAUAUGUCCACUCUCAGAAGGGAUCUAGGGAACUUCUAGCCUUGCACUACACUCAUUUUUCAGCAUAAGGAGCUUAGAGAAUUCACUCAGAAGUUAUCUCAGAGGGACCAGAAAAGAAGAUUAAGCAGCUUUCAAGCUUCAAAAAAGUGUCUGGUGCGGUGGGCUGAGGCUCUGGGGGAUGUAGGUAAUAAACUAUGUGAAUAAUUUUUCAAUUGAAAUGUUCAAAACAGCUAUGUGAAAUACAUGGAGUAUUGUAUAUUAAUGUGAGCUCUUAUGCGAGAAUUUAAACUGUUUAACUUAUACCUAGGAAUUAAUUUUUUCUUCCUUUUCCCCUACUAGCAACUUAUUAUGAAUCUUGAGAUUAGCUGUGUAUAUGCAUCUAGGUGCACGUGCAACUGAUUAUGCAUAAUCUCUGGAGAAGACUGAUGGAAACCUUCAUCUAGAAUUCUGUAACAUCAAUAAAACCAUCCAGGAACAAUUGUUUCAUAGAGAAGAUUGAUACUUCCUUUGAAAAAACAUUAUGAACCCAGUCCAGUCUUUUUGCACUGAAUUAUGUAUGGAGUCGCCAUAAUUGCAAGUAUCAGUCAAUGCCUACACAAAAAUGCAAGGCUAGACAAGUAAUGGCUUUAGGAAGUGGACCUUGCCCUGUAAAGAGUAUAUUACCAAACUAUUACAAGGCUAGUUUAUGCAGAUACUGCAAGCUUAUUUUACAUGAUGGCAGAUGGAUACAAACAGCUUAUAACAUUAAUUUUCUUAUGGGAUCUCAUCUGACAAAAUCCCUUGUUAUUUGCAGUCUCUCAGGAACCAUAAUUCUUUUGCAGAUCCGUGCCUGAUAAACUUAAAUUUUGAAAAUGAAUAUUUGCACUUACCAACAUCAAGGGAGAGUUAAAAUCAAACACUGCUGUCUUCUGGGAAAGUCAGCAGUAAAGCACUGCUUUCAGUAAUCAAUAAAUCAACCAAGCAAAUCUUCAGUCUGUUCUUACAAGGGGAUAUGUCAUCAGGUGAAGUGAAGAUUUGCCAGAGAAACCACUAAGUAAACACUUCUGCCACUUAGCAGUGCUUUGUUUUGCAUCGUCAGCUGCAGAUGAUGAAAGCACAUGCAUGCACAGAUCUGUUUUGCAUCCCAAACAGAGACAGUGCCUGGACCAAAGCACUCAUACAUUGCCUUCAGCAGCUUGGGCUGGGGAGAUACCCUCUGUAUUUCCUUUCUCAGUCUCCUACUGUUCCAUCUCUAUUUUCUUUGCGCCUGCUGCAUUUUGUAUUUUGCAGCAUUUAAAAAUACUAGGGAAAUUUUACUGGACCCUUUUACAGACUAUCAAACAAGUAUAAUGGUCUUACACCUCGCUGAUCUGCAUCCACCUGUGACAAUUAAUGCCCCAAAAGCAGCUUUCCUCCAUAAUAAAUGUCCAAAUGAAUAGCAAGAAUAUGAGCUAUCUACUUGCAACAGUACCAUCAUUUUCUUACAAAGUAUCCCAGAAAGCACAUACCAGAAAAUAAAAGUCUUAGUAAAAUAUGAAAGAGCUUCAUCGUUGUGAACAAAAUGCAUUCUGUGCUGGGCUGUUUUCGUGCUUAUACAGCAGGUCUUGUGCAUUUACUAAAUUCUGCUUGAAUCCUAGCUUAUGGAUCAAGACCUAAAAUCCUAGGUAGUCAGCUAACUGCCCCUAAGGGUCAAAUACGAAGGCUUAGAUGUACACGUUAUUGCUAUCCCCAGCCCCUGUCCACUGGCAUUUAUUUUCCUUUCUAUGGCUGCUGAGCUUUGCUUCUGUCUCAGAGGGAAUAUGAAUGACUCAUUGUUUAUCGAUAAAAACUCCUUUUUCACUCUGUAAUUCAUCUCUCUUUUCUCAGACUCUUUCCCAGUGAAUGUGGCAAGAGACCAAGGAAGCCGACACACUACUAACAUUGAGGUGCCCUUCUGAGGGUUGCCUCCCCUUCCCAGCUAGAUCUGCCAAAAUUAUCAGAUGGACAAUGUGGACUGUGAUGAUGAAUAUGAAUUCUAGGAUGAAAUCUGUAUGCUUUAAGCAGCUGGGUUGUGUCUGCGAGUGGUUGUUGUUGAAAACAACAGCGGCUGUGACACAUGCUGUAAAUGGGACAGUAGUAUAGGUAUAUAGAAACCUUGGAUAUUGUAGGACAUGAGCAAUGAACUCAAAGCUGGAGGCAGACUCUCCCCCCACUAGCAGAUACACAGGAUACAGAGGAUCUGGCACCUGCACCUCCAUUGCAUCUCAGCUGAUGCCACCACAGCCUAUUGUCACAUGUAAUGUUGCUGUUGAUGGUGGUGGCCUGAAAACUUUUUACUGGAUCUUGGAGUCUUUUUGUGACUCAUCAACUAACCUUACCUGAUGUCUUUAUAGUGUUGGCAUUUAUCAGUGUACACUUGUUCUAUCUUUUCAUUCUGCUUUAUCUAAUUUUUGUACAGGAGAUAGAAGGCCUCCCUUCCAUGAUCUUUGCUAUUUCCUCAUCUUACAUCCAUUAACUGCUAACUGCCCUCAUCAGAAAAGGCUGAUUUCUUUAUAUUGGCAAGACAGGCCUCAUGAAAUCAGAGGUGAAACUCUCAUUGAGAGUGGCUCCUUUUAAUCAAAGGACUAGAGGAGAAAAGCAAAACAGAAGGUAGAGACAGUAAGUUCAAUUUAUGGCCAGUUCCUAAAUGAUCAAAACCUGACAAAGACCUCCAGUCUUUCUAGGUAUUCAUGCAUCCAGGAUGACAUAGCUCCUCACAGAACCAAAGCCUAUUAUAGUUGCCACCCUCUCAAUAAAUACCAAUCUCAUUAUAAUGCUUCCUUCAAAUCUGUAGUGUGUGGGCACAGGGCUGGUUCACUAUUGGCUGAAUUGUGAUUUUAUUUUCAGUGAAUGGUAUUCAUUGGUCACUGCACAAAUUUCCUUCCAAAGUCAUAAUUUCUGAAAUGUGGCACUUGUCAUUAAGAUGACAAAUGCUGGCAUUUGGUGGGAUGUGGUAUUGAUUGCAUCAAGCUCUGAAAUAACAGCCAGGAGCAGUACAGCGCAGAAGCCAACAGUGCUGGGCUGGAUCUGGCUGCUUCCCUAGGGCUUUUUUCCAUUCUCCACUGUAUUUCUGACUUGCUGUGAAUAAAGUCACUUAACAUGCUGAUUUGCUGAACUAUCUAUCAAGUGAACUGUUCAAAGCAGAGAUGGGGCCAAAUGACAAAAAGAAAAAGAAAAAAAAAAAGAAAAAGAAAAAGAAAAAAAAGGCUACCUUUGUGAAUGACAGAAGCAAUUCUCCACCUGCAAGGAUUUUAUUACCUACUACUGCAAAAGGUUCAAGCACUGAACAGUCUCCACUGCAUGAAAGAAGGGGUUGGAGACCUUUCUGCAAAUAUACACCACAAGGAAACACACAUUUUGCAGUCCUGGCUCUUAUAACUGCUAGUGAAUCUGGACAUUAUUUUUUAAUUUCUCACAGUGAACUCAACCAAAAAGCUCAGGUUCUGAUGAGGAAUCCAAAUAGCCAUGUUCUGAUAAACUUGUACCUGCACAACUCUGUGAGACUCCACUCUUUUCUGUACAAAAUGAGAGAUCAUCCUCCUGCUUAAAUGUACUUAAUAUCAAGGAAGAUAUAAGCAAUUAGGCUGCCUUCUGCUCAAGACUGCUAGAAAGGUCAAAACACGUGAGUCGUGGUGCCUCACGUGAGGUCAGCUGCUAAUUUGUUUCCUUGCCUGACUGUUUUUCAUCCAACUUAUUGUUGCUUCCUGACAAAUGACUAUAGUGUACAUAUAUACAUAUGUAUAUGUCUAGGCUGAAAAGGUAGAAAAUACUGCUAAAAAAAAAAUCUAUUGCUUCUCUUAA